Molecule: ribosomal RNA, 157 nt
Filed under: uncultured Cortinarius
Lineage: Eukaryota; Fungi; Basidiomycota; Agaricomycetes; Agaricales; Cortinariaceae
Description: 5.8S ribosomal RNA
Rfam family: 5.8S ribosomal RNA
About the family: 5.8S ribosomal RNA (5.8S rRNA) is a component of the large subunit of the eukaryotic ribosome. It is transcribed by RNA polymerase I as part of the 45S precursor that also contains 18S and 28S rRNA.
Source: RNAcentral
AACUUUCAGCAACGGAUCUCUUGGCUCUCGCAUCGAUGAAGAACGCAGCGAAAUGCGAUAAGUAAUGUGAAUUGCAGAAUUCAGUGAAUCAUCGAAUCUUUGAACGCACCUUGCGCUCUUUGGUAUUCCGAAGGGCAUGCCUGUUUGAGUGUCAUUA